CAGAUAUCAGGAGGAACACCAGUGGCGAAGGCGGUUCUCUGGGCCUUUCCUGACGCUGAGGAGCGAAAGCGUGGGGAGCGAACAGGCUUAGAUACCCUGGUAGUCCACGCUGUAAACGGUGGGUACUAGGUGUGGGGUCCUUCCAGGGUUCCGUGCCGUAGCUAACGCUUUAAGUACCCCGCCUGGGGAGUACGGCCGCAAGGCUAAAACUCAAAGGAAUUGACGGGGCCCCGCACAAGCGGCGGAGCAUGCGGAUUAAUUCGAUGCAACGCGUAGAACCUUACCUGGGUUUGACAUGAUCGGGAGUGCUCAGAGAUGGGUGUGCCUCUUUUGGGGUCGGUUCACAGGUGGUGCAUGGCUGUCGUCAGCUCGUGUCGUGAGAUGUUGGGUUAAGUCCCGCAACGAGCGCAACCCUUGUUCACUGUUGCCAGCACGUUAUGGUGGGGACUCAGUGGAGACCGCCGGGGUCAACUCGGAGGAAGGUGGGGAUGACGUCAAGUCAUCAUGCCCCUUAUGUCCAGGGCUUCACGCAUGCUACAAUGGCUGGUACAGAGAGUGGCGAGCCUGUGAGGGUGAGCGAAUCUCGGAAAGCCGGUCUCAGUUCGGAUUGGGGUCUGCAACUCGACCUCAUGAAGUCGGAGUCGCUAGUAAUCGCAGAUCAGCACGCUGCGGUGAAUACGUUCCCGGGGCUUGCACAC
Molecule: ribosomal RNA, 698 nt
Filed under: uncultured Propionibacterium sp.
Lineage: Bacteria; Bacillati; Actinomycetota; Actinomycetes; Propionibacteriales; Propionibacteriaceae
Description: bacterial SSU rRNA
Rfam family: Bacterial small subunit ribosomal RNA
Source: RNAcentral